CCUCCUAAAAACACAGUAAACACGUAUCCGCCGGCUUUCGAGCCAAACGUGCCGCGACAUACAAGAGGACCAAUGGCUCGCGUGUUUUUACGUAAUUACGUGUACAUGCCAGGCGACACGCGUGUGCAUAAUUAAAACCCGUGUCUCUCUCUCGCACGAGCGCAUCGUCGGGGAAGCUGAGGACAGUGCGCGACGAGUGUAAUGAGCUCCGACAGACUUUAAACUGUUCCUUAUUAGCCGAUUUCUCUGCCGAGUGUUCCGAGAGUCUGUCGAGAGAAAUAAUACAACAAUGCUCAAUAGUUUAACACGACGCUUCUCAACGCGAGGACUUCACGGAAACGCUGUGGACCGAACGUGAAAGGGUAUUUGCGAAUCGACCAGUAAAGAGACGUCAAUGGAAGAAAAAAAAUCGCGCGAAACUCAACGGCCUCUCGUCCUCGAAGUGUUUUUGAAAAGUUACUGAGGAAACAGCGGUUCUGUCACUAACAUUGCGCUGGAAACAGUUUUCGGAAAUUUAAAAUUUUUUUUUCAAAAGUUCGGGAAAGUUACUGAGAGAACAGAAAAAUGUUCACCCUAAGUGUGCGAUAAUACACUCAGGAACAUAAAGAGAUGCAACUGGGAUGCAACUAGCGAGUCCAGGGAGAAUGCUUCCUCUUUCGCGUGCCAUUCCCCUUCAGUCGUGAUCGUUUGUUGGGCGUCAAUGAAAGGAAAGCUUGAAUCAUAUUCAUGUUUCUUCUUCUGUGUUUACAAAGCGCGAGCCCGAGUAAGCGGCACUAAGCCGCGUCACUCGGGCUGCGUUCCAAAACUCUACUCCGAGUAGCGGAGUUAACUCAACAUCGUUCUAAAAUGUGGUGUAACAUACUAGAUGGGCGGAGCCAAAUCGUUCAGAAAAUCAGAGUGGACUAUACUCAGAGUCAACUCUUAUAACUCUAACUACAAGGAGAGUUACAGAAACUUUUGCUGCGGAUCACGCUCGCGUCUGAUUCGUAACGGGAUAAUAAAUCGCCGAGUUGCCAGGUGGAGAGGAGGCAAGUACCGAUCAAGGAAGGAAAAGAUAAGUGCGAGAACUCGGCGGGGACUCCAUUAUGUUCCUCUUGAACCCGAACGCAAUUAGAAGCACGUAUCUUUAAUUACGCACGUGAACAGGCCGCGUACGUGGAGCUCUUGGGAAUAAACUUUGAUAUUUAAGUGGAGAGAAACUCGGUGGAUGUCUCGGGGAGCUUUGUUACGUCCUGCCGCAGGUAAUCGGAACUGAGAACGAGGCGAGGAGGACUCUCGUGGCUGCUUAACCCUUUCGAGAUCCCCGUUCAUGCGUUUGACCUGGACACUCGUCGAUUCUUGCUCGAGGUACCGUCAGUUCCACGGCAUUCCGACGCCGGCGUUCUCGCGUCGGCGGGGAACGCUUAAAAACGCGUUACGCACGUUCCCGGCGCAGCGUUCAAUUACGAAACUGGAAAGAAAUGCAAAUACGUGCGACAAGUGCGCGAAUCUCGUCUCGAGAUUUCUUAUAAUUCCCACGUAAAUCAUAGUAUCUAUUAACGGCCACCGAGACGGCGAUUGCGAUAGGCACUAAUCGACGUGUACACGAUGUUAUUUUAUGCUCGUCAAUCGGCUGAUUUCUUGCACUCUUGACCCAUUAAGGGCUCUGAGUUUGUGUUAGGCAUGAAUGAAAAGAAUUUCUUUGGAAUCGUUUCACAAAGAAAUUAUAAAUCAUACACAUUUUUAGACUUUUCCAGUAUAUUUUUAUGCAGAGAAAAUCAAGCUUCAAGGAAGUUACAUGGUUUUUAUAAUUUUUUUGUAAAACAAUUCCAAAGAAACUUUUUUAAUUCAUGCCUACAAACUAUCCAACGUCUCAAAGACCUUCUCUCUACUAACGGGACAUAUCCUACCGUUAAUAAUAACUUUAUUCAAUUGAAUAAACAGCUUUGUUGAUAUUCAGAACAUAUCAGCUAUCACUCUAUUUAUUACAAAUGUGUCCUUCUAAAAAUCUCAGUGGUACAUCAGUGGCACAGCCCUAU
Long non-coding RNA from Odontomachus brunneus, 2018 nucleotides. RefSeq lists it as uncharacterized. The transcript is spliced from 3 exons. The record is from RefSeq and is a predicted model, not a curated record. Lineage: Eukaryota; Metazoa; Arthropoda; Insecta; Hymenoptera; Formicidae.